GACGAACGCUGGCGGCGUGCUUAACACAUGCAAGUCGAACGGUGACGAGGAGCUUGCUCCUCUGAUCAGUGGCGAACGGGUGAGUAACACGUGAGCAACCUGCCCCAGACUCUGGGAUAACAGUUGGAAACAGCUGCUAAUACCGGAUACGAGACGGAGAGGCAUCUCUACCGUCUGGAAAGUUUUUCGGCUGGGAUGGACUCGCGGCCUAUCAGCUAGUUGGUGAGGUAAUGGCUCACCAAGGCGACGACGGGUAGCCGGCCUGAGAGGGCGACCGGCCACACUGGGACUGAGACACGGCCCAGACUCCUACGGGAGGCAGCAGUGGGGGAUUUUGGACAAUGGGCGAAAGCCUGAUCCAGCGACGCCGCGUGGAGGACGAAGCCCUUCGGGGUGUAAACUCCUUUUCUCAGGGAAAAGGAUGAUGGUACCUGAGGAAUAAGCCCCGGCUAACUACGUGCCAGCAGCCGCGGUAAAGUCACGUCG
RNAcentral lists this ribosomal RNA (486 nucleotides) under uncultured bacterium. RNAcentral describes it as "bacterial SSU rRNA". It matches the Rfam family "Bacterial small subunit ribosomal RNA", at positions 28 to 530 of the family's 1533-position model. The record is from RNAcentral.